Molecule: transfer RNA, 72 nt
Filed under: Camelus bactrianus (Bactrian camel)
Lineage: Eukaryota; Metazoa; Chordata; Mammalia; Artiodactyla; Camelidae
Also listed under: 2 other names
Rfam family: tRNA
About the family: Transfer RNA (tRNA) molecules are approximately 80 nucleotides in length. Their secondary structure includes four short double-helical elements and three loops (D, anti-codon, and T loops).
Source: Rfam by way of RNAcentral
GAGGGUGUCGCUCAAGGGUAGAGUGUGUGCUUAGCAUGCACGAGGUCCUGGGUUCAAUCCCCAGCGCCUCCA